GGUGCAUCCUACUCCAAAUAGUGAACUUGAACCUAUAUAGCCAACAUACACAGCAAGGACCCAUAUGACUAGGGACCAAGAGAACAUGUAGUCAAACUAAGUAGCCUCGCUGUGAACAGCCAAAAAAUCACAAGUCAAAGGAUCAGUCACACCACUGUAGCAUUGAGAAGACCACUGACGAGUAAGUAGACACCAAGUGAUUUCUCAUGUUGGUCA
This 216-nucleotide long non-coding RNA is filed under the name Elaeis guineensis (African oil palm). RNAcentral's name for it is "long non-coding RNA (EGUI_LNC059669)". Lineage: Eukaryota; Viridiplantae; Streptophyta; Magnoliopsida; Arecales; Arecaceae. The record is from RNAcentral.